Pelodiscus sinensis (Chinese soft-shelled turtle) is the source of this 1478-nucleotide long non-coding RNA. RefSeq lists it as uncharacterized. The record is from RefSeq and is a predicted model, not a curated record. NCBI's taxonomy places the organism in Eukaryota, Metazoa, Chordata, Testudines, Trionychidae.
AAGGCAGACUAUGAACAAGUUUGGCAGCUGAAAGGGGAUUUUUCUAGUAAUGUUGCCUAGCACACGCUGCUUACGUGCCUCUGUCAGCCACUCGGCAAGGCUCAGAGAGCCUAUUGCCUAUAAAGAGGUGACCUUUCAGCUGGACUGAUAUGGUUGUGCCGGGAGAAAAAUCAAAAGCCUGAUCACCAUUCCUGGGCCAAACCAUCUGGCAUCAAGACUGUCCAGUACCACAGGUUCACACAGAAGGUUUACAUUUACAAUUGUAUAAGGGACUCCUCUGAGCCAGGAAUUCCUGUUAUAUCUCUUUGCCUUUUUCUUGAAAAAAGAAAAAAAAAUGAAGCCUGCACACUUGCUUUGCCUGUUGCUGAGCUGCUUUUCGGUACACGAAGCUGCCUGUAAACCCUUGAAGCUGGACUGCACUCUUGGAAAAUGUAGCCCAUGCCCAACUCAAUACACAGUGGAGUGUUCGGAGGAUAACUGCUGUGCUACAUGUGCUGCUCCAUGUUCCUGCCCAGAUUAUCACCAGUUGGAAUGUGCCAUGCAAGGCUAUGAGGAUGGAAACGUCCCUGUGGGACAAUCUUUCUACAUUGACUUUGCCACCCAACUCUGCACCUGUGUUUCUACAGGGAAUAUCUCCUGCGUGUCAGUUUGCCCCACGGUUUCACCUACGUGUAAGGAGACAGGCAGCCUUCCUGAUGCCUGUCCCCAGUGCGUAUGUCACUUGGACAAUGAGAGACUCAUAACUGCUGGCACCACCGUCCCCAGGGACAGGGAGAUUUGUGUAUGUCCCCCUGACGGAGGGAAACUACUCUGCACCCCAACCACACCUCCGCCCACUACAGGUCUAGAAAUUAUCCCUUGAAGAACUCCAUUGUCCCUGUACCCUGCUCUUCCCCACCCCAUCCCCACUGUAACAUAGGGCAUCACAGGCCUCAUCCUUACUCCUGUCCAAGGCCAUCCUGAAGGGGCAGGGCAAGGCCUAGCAUAGCCCUCUUGCUCUAGCUGGGCCCGGCCUCCACUCCAUCCUUUCCCACAAACCCCUCUCUCUGGUCUGCCCCAUUCCACCCUUUUCCCCAAGCCUUCUCCCCCAAGUGGCAUUAGAUGUCAGCAGAGUGGCCUGGGGCCGGAUUAUUCUGCUUCCCAUUGCUGCUGGUUCCAGACCACCUUCUAAUCCCCUGGCCACACUUGGUCCUGUACUUCUGUGCACCCCUAAAGGGUGGGAGCUGAGGUAGUUGCCCUGAACCUUUGUAUGGACAGAACAGAGGUGCCCCUACCAUACCAUACUAGAUGACAGGAAGGAAAAAACCACAACUGCACAUGCACACUCUGUGCUCAGAACCACAGCUGGUGUACACAGGCCAUUAUGGUUACACAUUGGUGCACUCAGACAGAAAUGUUUACUUCCUUUCCAAUUUUAGGGUGCCUGCCUCUUUAAUGGAUGACAGUCUGUGGACCAGUACCAUUUUGUGUGCAUGCGC